Molecule: long non-coding RNA, 575 nt
Filed under: Musa acuminata (dwarf banana)
Lineage: Eukaryota; Viridiplantae; Streptophyta; Magnoliopsida; Zingiberales; Musaceae
Description: long non-coding RNA (MACU_LNC011897)
Source: RNAcentral
UCUUAGUGCCGCUCCGAUCCUAACAGAUGGAUCUUAAACUCUAAUACUCAGAUUUUACAGGCAUCAUGGGCCAUUGCAAUUAAUACUUCAAGACUACAAGUAGAAGUAGGUUAAUUGUCUUGAAUGUGCAAGAACGAGUCAUAUAUAUCCUAUUUUACAGGCAUCAGUGUUGGCUGAACUCUUCUCCCCUCCUCUCUGAAAUAAAUUAAAUGCAAGUGUUGCAUCUUCUACCUUCAUCUAAAGCCAUAAUCAUUCUGCAUAGUGCGUGAACGUCGUAGAAGGAUGAUCUUAUCCAACUCUAUGAUACAAGCUUAGCUAUUCAUCAGUUGCCAAAAGAAAUAUUCAAACUUUCUUUGACUUUAAAUUGCUAGUAUACAGUGAUAAGUUUGUGUGUGCAAGGAAAUAAACAAUUCGGAUGAUAAUGUCAAUAUAAUAUUUAUGUGAAAGAAGAAGAUUGGAAAGGACUACAGAAUAAUUGCAAGAAUUUGGAACUCAUAAUAAUCCAAUCAAAACAGGUGGUGAGUUUGGAUAUGUAUAUAAAACACUAAUAUUAGACAUUGUAAAAAAAGGGUUGC